Molecule: ribosomal RNA, 465 nt
Filed under: Vreelandella stevensii
Lineage: Bacteria; Pseudomonadati; Pseudomonadota; Gammaproteobacteria; Oceanospirillales; Halomonadaceae
Description: partial 16S ribosomal RNA
Rfam family: Bacterial small subunit ribosomal RNA
Source: RNAcentral
CCUACGGGGGGCAGCAGUGGGGAAUAUUGGACAAUGGGGGCAACCCUGAUCCAGCCAUGCCGCGUGUGUGAAGAAGGCCCUCGGGUUGUAAAGCACUUUCAGUGAGGAAGAACGCCUGGUGGUUAAUACCCAUCAGGAAAGACAUCACUCACAGAAGAAGCACCGGCUAACUCCGUGCCAGCAGCCGCGGUAAUACGGAGGGUGCGAGCGUUAAUCGGAAUUACUGGGCGUAAAGCGCGCGUAGGUGGCUUGAUAAGCCGGUUGUGAAAGCCCCGGGCUCAACCUGGGAACGGCAUCCGGAACUGUCAAGCUAGAGAGCAGGAGAGGAAGGUAGAAUUCCCGGUGUAGCGGUGAAAUGCGAAGAGAUCGGGAGGAAUACCAGUGGCGAAGGCGGUCUUCUGGACUGACACUGACACUGAGGUGCGAAAGCGUGGGUAGCAAACAGGAUUAGAUACCCGGGUAGGC